UACGUAGGUGGCGAGCGUUGUCCGGAUUUACUGGGCGUAUAGGGAGCGUAGGCGGACUUUUAAGUGAGAUGUGAAAUACUCGGGCUCAACUUGAGUGCUGCAUUUCAAACUGGAAGUCUAGAGUGCAGGAGAGGAGAAUGGAAUUCCUAGUGUAGCGGUGAAAUGCGUAGAGAUUAGGAAGAACACCAGUGGCGAAGGCGAUUCUCUGGACUGUAACUGACGCUGAGGCUCGAAAGCGUGGGGAGCAAACAGG
RNAcentral lists this ribosomal RNA (253 nucleotides) under uncultured bacterium. RNAcentral's name for it is "partial 16S ribosomal RNA". It matches the Rfam family "Bacterial small subunit ribosomal RNA", at positions 524 to 776 of the family's 1533-position model. The record is from RNAcentral.